GACGAACGCUGGCGGCGUGCUUAACACAUGCAAGUCGAACGGAAAGGCCCUGCUUUUGUGGGGUGCUCGAGUGGCGAACGGGUGAGUAACACGUGAGUAACCUGCCCUUGACUUUGGGAUAACUUCAGGAAACUGGGGCUAAUACCGGAUAGGAGCUCCUGCUGCAUGGUGGGGGUUGGAAAGUUUCGGCGGUUGGGGAUGGACUCGCGGCUUAUCAGCUUGUUGGUGGGGUAGUGGCUUACCAAGGCUUUGACGGGUAGCCGGCCUGAGAGGGUGACCGGCCACAUUGGGACUGAGAAACGGCCCAGACUCCUACGGGAGGCAGCAGUGGAGAAUAUUGCGCAAUGGGCGGAAGCCGGAUGCAGCAACGCCGCGUGCGGGAUGACGGCCUUCGGGUUGUAAACCGCUUUCGCCUGUGACGAAGCGUGAGUGACGGUAAUGGGUAAAGAAGCACCGGCUAACUACGU
Molecule: ribosomal RNA, 467 nt
Filed under: uncultured bacterium
Lineage: Bacteria
Description: partial 16S ribosomal RNA
Rfam family: Bacterial small subunit ribosomal RNA
Source: RNAcentral